Molecule: ribosomal RNA, 468 nt
Filed under: uncultured bacterium
Lineage: Bacteria
Description: partial 16S ribosomal RNA
Rfam family: Bacterial small subunit ribosomal RNA
Source: RNAcentral
GACGAACGCUGGCGGCGUGCUUAACACAUGCAAGUCGAACGGAAAGGCCCUGCUUUUGUGGGGUGCUCGAGUGGCGAACGGGUGAGUAACACGUGAGUAACCUGCCCUUGACUUUGGGAUAACUUCAGGAAACUGGGGCUAAUACCGGAUAGGAGCUCCUGCUGCAUGGUGGGGGUUGGAAAGUUUCGGCGGUUGGGGAUGGACUCGCGGCUUAUCAGCUUGUUGGUGGGGUAGUGGCUUACCCAGGCUUUGACGGGUAGCCGGCCUGAGAGGGUGAACGGCCACAUUGGGACUGAGGUACGGCCCAGACUCGUACGGGAGGCAGCAGUGGGGAAUAUUGCACAAUGGGCGGAAGCCUGAUGCAGCAGCGCCGCGUGCGGGAUGACGGCCUUCGGGUUGUAAACCGCUUUCGCCUGUGACGAAGCGUGAGUGACGGUAAUGGGUAAAGAAGCACCGGCUAACUACGUG